GGAGAGAGAGAGAGAGAGAGAGAGAGAGAGAGAGAGAGAAGGAAAGAGAGAGAAAACCACCAUCCCCCGAAUGACGCGAGAGGGAGUUAGAGUUCCUAGCUCGUCCCCCACGGUUGCAGUGCGUUCCCAACACCCGUGAGACAACCUCGAACUGUCCCAACGUAAGCAACGAAACACACGCACGUACGUUCGGAUCGACGCUCACGUUCGCGCACGACAAGAGUCACGAGGAGACUCAGUUUUUUCGCGUUUUCGUUUACUCUUCCUUGGUCUCUCUCUCUCUCUCUCUCUCUCUCUCUUUUUCUCUCAUUCCCCCUUUCUCUCUUUCUCUCUCUCUCUCUCUCUCUCUCUCUCUUUUGUACUGGCUAAUCGAGCUAUACCUCGAGCUCCCUCUCAAACUUUGAGGGAGGAAAACAUUCGACUAGAAUUUGAAUACGUGACAUUUAACGCUCGAAAGAGAGAUUUUUCCGCUAUAUUUUAUCUUUCUCUUUCCUCGUAUCUGUUUCUAUUUCUAUCUGUUUUUUCUUCUUUUAUCUUUCAUUCGCCUUUACUCCCUUUAUCUUUUCUACCAGUCGAACUCCUGCGUUUUCCUCAGUGUCACAGCGACUCGUCGUGUCGUACAGAACAUAUAGUCAGUGUACUUUCUGUAUCAAAAGUAUAUCGAAAAUUUUUCGGAAGAAAGCUGAUCGGACUGAAGGGUACGAGAGUUCUACAAGGUGAGAUCAGUUUAGAGUGCGCGUGUAUUGCAGUAUUUAAGCAGUAUCUGAGUAAGUUUGCCAGCAUAGAAAAGUGACUUUUUUUUGAAAGACAAGAAAGCGAGUUGAGAUGGAGUGAGAGAAAGAAAAAGAGAAAGAGAAAGAGAGAGAAAGAGAGAGAAAGAGAGAGAGAGAGAGAGAGAGAGAGAAAGAGAGAGAUUGAAGAAAGAAGACGUAGCUGUAACUUGUGAAUCCUGAGUCAGUUUUUUCGGUGGAAAGUUCCUAGAGGUCGAGUCGGUGAUCAACGAAAAGAAGAAAAGCAUAAGGAGCGGUUGUUUAAUCGCGCGAAAGGGAUGCUACGUCAUGAGAAAGACGAGCGACACAAUCGUAUUCGAUGGAAGAAGAGAUAGCACAGAAGAAUAUCGUCGUGAUCGAAAAGGUGGAUCCUGGUGAUUAUCGUUCUACGCAGGAUUGACGACCUUGAGUGAUCUCGUGCUGGUGGUAAAAACCAAGGAACAAGAUAAACUCUACGAGGUCGUGAAUAUUUUUUUAGAUUCUUUCGAGUCUUUUCCGUGAUCUUAUAGAUAUAUACAUACACAUACAUAUAGCACGGAGAAGAAAAAGUGAGUAGGAGAGAAAAAGGGACGUUGCUCGUUACGAGGUAAUGACUUUGUAAUCGUGUAAAUAGGUGUACAUAGAAAGGAGCGACAGGACCGAUUGGUUCGGUUUAUUCAUUAUAAGGGAGUUACGCUGAAAACGAUAGUACUUUGUAGCGUGAGCGCGCGUGCAAGAGAGAGAGGAAGAGAGAGAAAGAGACAGAGAUACAGUCUCACUCUUCUCGUCCUCCUUCCCAUAUCACUUCUUUUUCCUUCUUGUCCAUCUCUUCUUAUCUAUCCCGUAUUUCUGUCGUUUUAUCUUAUACAACUAAUCGUUAGAUAAUAUAUAACACGCUCGAUUAGUAUUUCAUGUGUGCGUCCGUAUAUAGGUGACUACAAUUACUGCGUACAUGUAUACGCAUAUGUAUAUAUAUAUAUAUAUUACGAAUUUCUGCCGCCCGUCGAACGUAUCGUUCGAGGAUCGAUCGAAUCGCGGGUAUUUAGCGUGAAAGUUAUUCGAAUUUCGCGUUGAGAUUCGUGUGUGUCGUCGCGCGCGCGCGACCGGUAAAUAAUCCUUCUCGCGGUCUAUAAUCCUAUCCGCACACUGUUUCCGUUAUUCAACUUCUUGUUGAUCUUCCUUUUACUUUUUAUACAUAUAUAUAUAUGUAUGUAUGUAUGUAUACACGUAUAUAGAGAGAUACACAUAUAUAUAUAUACACACACACACAUAUAUAUCGAAGCGUUUAUCUUCCAAUAUGAUUCGAAAAGCAGGUCGGAGCAGUACGGGUAUCCAGCUUAGGCUUUAGUCCCUGUGCGAUAAUUAAUUAUUAGCUCGCGGACAUCGUUAGUGCGAAUCAACGUACGGGUUAUUUCAAACGUCGGGACCUUUAAACACGAGGAGCCAAAGUUGCGAGAGAGAUAGAGGAACGCAGUUUCGAUAAACGAUCGGGCUUUCUCGAAUCAACGAAGUCUUUUCUCUCUCUCUCUCUCUCUCUCUCUCUCUCUCUCUUUCUCUCUCUCUCUUUCUCUCUCUCUCUCUCUCUCUCUCUCUCUCUGUAAUACUGUAAUUCAGUACAUUUCGUGUCUAAUAUUCAUGCAGGAGAUUAAUUUAAAGGAAAGGUUAGAAAGGGGGACCAAUUUUUCACGCGCAUUUUAAUCCUCUCUUUCUUCUUUCUAUUUCUACUAUGCGUCUACAUGUUCGCAAAGUUUAAUCUUUACCUUCUCGAUCCAUUUAUCCAUCCAUCCUACCUGCCGAAUGUUCAUAGAUCUCUUCGUCUCUCUCGUUCUGCUUCUUACUCUUUAUCUCUCUUUUCCUUUCUCUCUCUCUCUCUCUCUCUCUCUUUUUCUAUAUGGAUAGAUUUUUUUCGUUCGUUCGUAUUAACACUGUCGUCGUGAGCCAGUGAAUUCUGCAGUCGCGAAAAAAAAGCGAUUCACGAAAAGCAAUAACUCAAGGGCCAACCUACGAUUAAGACAACGACAACGAUGACGUAAAGAAACGAAGGGACACAGAAAGAACAAAAAGAGAAAAAAAAAGGAGAAAAGGCAGAGAAACGAGGACACCUCGACACCUUCAUUGAAGAACGGUUCGCGUCACCGAGCGUCACUUACCGCCCCAGAUAUUAGCUUCAGAAUGAAGAAUCUCAUAAUUCUUAUGUAGACGAUGGUUCAGCGUUUUAUUAAAUAAAAAAUUUAUUAUCUAUAAAAACACAAUUUUACGUGUUAGGUAAUAAGUCUGCACUAGAGGUGAGAGACGACGGGUCUCUCGACGAAUAAAGGAGGAAUUUAAAAGGGAAAAGAGAGAAGGGGAGAGGGAGAGAACGAGGGAUUGGUUCGAUCUUCGAUAAGGAUGACAUAAUGCCGAAACGGGCAUGACGGCGCUGGCCUCGAGAUGCGACGAGACCACCACUCUCUUGCUAUUGUUAUUACUCGAACUGGCACCUGGUGUAAGGUGUUAUCCGCGCUCUUCGAUCGGCGCGACAUCAGAGGCGUCCUCCAACGACGGUGGUACGUCGUCCUCCGACGUGAGUUCCUCAGCCGCGACGAGAUAGCAUCCGCAGAGCACGGCGAGGGUGCGAGUGAUGAUCCCGCCGCUCCUCGGCAACAUUAUGUCUAUCGACGACGCCGGUAGCUCGGCAACGGCGUCCACGAGCGUCUUCGAGGAGAACAUGACGUGGUCUCGUUCGACGAUUACCGGCUCAACUACGUCUUCUUCUACGAUCAGUGAGGCCACCUCGAGAGGCUACGAGGAAACCAGAGAAGAACGAGGGAAGACAGAAACGAUUACUCGCCUUGCCGAUUUUGCUGUCGGUUGGACCGACUGGAACGGCACCGAGCGAAUAGAAGAAAGUAGAAGAGAAGAACAAAAGAACAAGUCGGUGGAAACUUCCAACGAUCCGACCAAGGAGAUCGGUGAACAGCCGAGAGGAGGAGAUCCCCUUGGUUGUGCCUGCGAAAGAGAAGAUUCUCUGAUUUCCAGGGUCUCCGAUAGGAGCACUUUUGAGAUCUUCACUGGAGGCUCGAGUCUUGGCGUCGAUCUUCUCUUUGACGUAACCUCCGACACGAUGGAAGACCUCGCCAUCUCUUCCUCCAACGACUCCAUCUUCAACGAGAGUUUACCAUAUACCUCGAACAAGAGCUACGACAAUGAGACCUUGUUCGUUUUCGGUGAUAGCAUGUAUCCAUCGGGAUAUACUCUACCGCAUAUCAUUGUGGCCUCGAUCGUGGCUACCCUUUUGAUGAUAGUCAUCGUCGUUGGUAACAUGCUCGUGAUAAUUGCGAUUGUAACGGAGAAAGCACUGAAGAAUAUUCAGAACUGGUUCAUCGCCAGUCUCGCUGUCGCAGACUUCUUUCUGGGUCUCAUCAUAAUGCCAUUCUCAUUAGCGAACGAGAUUAUGGGUUAUUGGAUCUUUGGCUAUUGGUGGUGCGAUAUAUACUCCGCGAUGGACGUGUUACUCUGCACGGCCAGCAUCAUGAAUCUCUGUCUCAUAAGUCUUGAUAGGUUCUGGAGCAUUACUCAGGCAGUGGAUUACUUGAAGAAAAGAACACCGGCCAGGGCGAUACUUAUGAUCGCCCUCGUCUGGCUAUUAUCCGCCCUCAUUUGUAUACCGCCGUUGCUCGGCUGGAAGAGGCCAACGCCGGAAGAGGAUUAUCCCAAAUGCAAGCUCUCAGAGGACAUCGGUUACGUUCUAUAUUCAGCUCUCGGGAGUUUCUACAUCCCUUCCUGCAUCAUGGUCUUCGUGUAUAUACGCAUCUACUUCGCGGCGAAAGCUCGAGCGCGCCGUGGAAUUCGGAAACAUCCACGGCCGCGACCGAUCUCGGUGCCACCGGAAUCGCCGGAUAUCAGACAAACGAGUUUCACGCAGAGCACUCCGGCGACCGAAAUGAGGAGGUCGACGGCGAGUGCCGGAGGUAGUGCCGGGACGCUUCUGGAAAACGUCGCAACGAUCGAAAAUCAGCCGGUCCAAAUACCGAUCGUUACCUGCGACUUCGCCAGUGACGUCAGCACGUCCGAGGCCGACCCUGCCGGUAGUAAUAAUAUACCUAUGGAGGAGAAAGACACCUUAAAGGUAACGAUACCCGUACCGGUUCAAAAGAGUAACCUAAAGGCGAGUUUGUCGGUAAACGGCGACGGUCAAUCGAGUCAGAGCGUACCGAUACGAUGCAGGGCACCCAGUGUUGGCAUCGACGUAGACAUGGUGUCGGAGUUUGAUCCUUCCUCAUCGGACAGUGGCGUCGUCUCGAGGUGUGCCGUGGUGAAGCCAUUAAAGCUGCGUCUUUGUCAACCGAUCUUUGGUCGGAAGACAACCGGUAAGUUGAAGAGAGAGCAAGCAGAAACUUCUCGACAUCAAGGAAAAGAAGAAAUCGUGAUCGAGCCGAAAUCGUCGAAACCGCGCGAUCCAGAGCGAGAGAAGAGACGAUUAGCCAGAAAGAAGGAGAAACGAGCUACCCUCAUCCUUGGAUUCAUCAUGGGUAGCUUCAUCGCCUGCUGGCUACCUUUUUUCCUUCUUUAUAUCGUGAAACCCUUAUUCCCGGAUCUCGAUAUACCUACCCAGGCAUUUGUCAUUGCCUUUUGGCUCGGUUAUAUGAAUUCCGCUUUGAAUCCUUUCAUCUAUACGGUCUUCAACAAGGAUUUCCGUCGGGCGUUCCGUCGUAUACUUUUCAAAUGAAAGAUAGCUUCUCUCCGUGAGGAUAACAAAUAGCAAAAUGUUCAAAUUCGAGCUAAUUUCUUCUCCCAAAAAAGAUCGAGAUGCCGACCUGACUCGGUUUCAAGAUCGAGGAGGAUCAAGAAAAGUUCUUGAGAAUGAAGCGUAAAACCUUCGGAGAGAAAUGAAAGGAAUUACUUUAUUACAUUCACUUGAACGAUGAAAUCUCAAGGAUACGUUCGCAAAUAACAACCGAUGAUGAAUUUCAUAGCGAUGGAAUUUAUUGAAUCGUCUCGAUAGUGAGUACUUUCCCGAAACCUUACACGUACACGAAGUAUCUUCCAAGACAAUUAACAAAGGAUUCAAAAGCUCAUCGUCCUCGAUCCAGGAACAAUGCCGGCGUGAAUGAUGAACGAGGCUAAUGCACUAGUUCAGCGAAAUCAAGUGAAGCCAAAGAGCAAGGAGGGUGAAGGGUAACUGUCAAAUCACUUACAAUUUCAGAGGAACGAACUAUCAGCUACGAAUUCCCUCUCGUCUCAUCUUCGAUAAAUUCGAGAUCAUGUGAACUACGACUAUGUACGUUUCGUUAGUAUUAGAAGGUAUGUCUGGAUGGAACAAUAGAAUAUCUUCUCUGCAACAAAUCGAAAAGGACCAAUAGGAAUGAAAAUGAAAUCGAAUCUGAAGGCGUUGCUGGAUUAACGAGAGCCGGAUUACGUGGUAUUCCUCUUAGAUCUCGUACUUAAAUCUUGAAGGAAAGGUUCAACGUAAAGCACAGACUCGUUUCUACUCAAGCAAGAGUGAAGGUGGUGUUGGUAGUCAUAGUGUCAAGCAAACACAGGAGAAAAAGCGGAAAUACGGCUCUACCAAGAAGCGAUUCGCAUUUGUUGUAAAACGCUCUGAAACAAAACUUGAAUGCAGGUUUAGUCUUGUUCGGCGGUCUCACAAAGCCGUAUGCGUCCAAACUAAAUUGAAUUGCAUUGAGACUUGGAAGUAUGAGUCACAAGCGUGCAUGCUACUAAAGGAAAAGAGAGAAAAAGAAAGAAGGAAUGUAUAUGUGGGGUAACGGUAAAGUUCUACAACAGAACUGAAGUCUAAAUAAUAGAAUCCGGCGCGUAAAGGAACAAGUGUCUUCCUUGUUGGAAAAUAUACGUCACUAUUCUCAUGCAUUAAAAGUUUAUGAUUUAAUCGUAUAUGCAAGUAUAAUCUACAAAAUGUAAAAGACAAUGUUCUCAGCAUUCUACUUGUGAAAUGAAAUUAUUCGCGAGAUGUUACAAAAGAGAAAGAGAGUAUGAUCCUAACCUCAAAUAACAAUUGCAGAACGCUAAAUCCGUUUCAGUGAAAAAUAAUCUACGUUUUUCUUUUUAAUAAGAAGAUAAUAGAGACAGGGAGAGAGAGAGAGAGGUCUUCGGAGUUCUUUAAAAAUUAUGAUUCUUGCGAAAAAUCAACAUCGAGUUAAGUAGCUAACGCGUAAAAUGUGGAUUGAGUUGGUUCAACAAGUUGCAUACAGCGCAUACUCCCUGGGUAGAGUGUUUAGAUAGAACACAGCGAUCUGUCUAUAUCAAUUUUCACUUUACGUUAUGUCAUGCAACACCGAUGAGAGAGGGCUGUACGUACUUCUUUGGACAUCGACAUCAACAAUAGGGAGACGAGUGCCACGUGUUGCACGUCUUGUUCUCCACUCAUCUAACGAGCUAUGAGAGCCUUGUAAUAUCUCUUUCUAGCUUUUGCAUACAUAUAUAUGUACAUAAGAAAAAUAUUUUAAGUUAAGUAGAUAUUCACUCUUUAUUAUGUUUUGAAAUUUCCUAUAUAUCUAAUAAGUAUUUCGAAUAACAAUCUAGAAGAAAGAAAAUAGAAAAAGAACAUCGAGAAAUCUCUUUUUUCUUUCCAGGGAAUUCAUAAAAGGUAGCAGCAUUUUCUUCUUAGUCUCUACUCGGCCGAGACUCGAACACUCGAAAACGUUAUUUGCCUAUCGGCCGUGCCGUUCCUAUCGAACACUUUUCACGCGGUCCAUUCGCUACAGAACCCCUUCGGGACUCGUCUAACCGACAAGAACCACAAUGGUUACAGUUUCGCUCGUAUAGUAUCUACAGGAUCCGAAAAUAGAGAGAGAGGAUUGCUUCGUUCGAAACGAUCGAUCCUCCAAGAGAGGGAAAACGAAAAAGAGAGAUAGUGUCGGCAAGGUAACACGAUUCAGAAUGCUCCCUCUUUUUCACCUAUCUUCCUGCAACCUUUAUAUAUUUAUCAGGAAUAAAACGUUCAUGCAAGUAAUUUCUUUGACAUCCUAAGCGAAUUAGUGCGAAUUGGAAUGACGGACGAAAUAGAAAAUCAAAAGCAAAAUUAUACUCGAACAAAAGUUAUUUGAAUUCGUAGAGAAUUUCGUAUAUCUGGUAACAAACAAGCAAUACGUAAAAUAUGUGAAUACGUAAUAGGAAAUUGGACAAGAAUGAGUGGUUAAAACGUUCUUACUCGGUACAAGAAUAUUGUUCUUAAUAUCUGUUACUGACUACCGUCGACCAACAGAGCCCGUCCGAUUCAUUCAGAAUACAUGAAAUUGAAUAAUCCCUCUUUAUUCCAGGAUUCAUUAUUCCCAAUGCUUGCUCUCUUACACAUCCAUUUUCACGUUUGCCUUUAGAACUCUAGCUGGCUAAAAGAUUAGCGAAAUGAUUCGUGGAAAAGACAUGAAAAUCUUCAAGUUUCGACAGGGAUAUUUUCGAGAAAAGUAACUUUCGCUUCCAUCUCUCACUUUUUUGUUAUUUUUCUUCGUUUCUCGCUCGAUUUUUCUCUUUCUUUCUGAACGAAAUAAAUUUUAUUUAAUAUCUGUGCAAUUAAUUACAAAUUAAUUUUAUACGUGAAUAAUUUAAAUGACAAAAGUUUAACGAGUAUAAGAUAUAAAACCAACGUAGAUUUGAUUGAACAAAACACAAAACGAGAAGCAAGAAAAAAUAAACGUCCGGCAGAAGAAGACAAAUGAUAAAAGGACUAGAGAACGAAUGCUUUGAGUAAUGUGCCACAGCGGCAGAUUUUCUACGUUCUCCCUUCGUGUACGAUGCGAUAUAUCGGGAACAUAAAGCACGUGCGAUAUAUCACUUCCGCGCCGAUAGGAACAACCUAGACGCAUAGAACAGUACAAAGUUUUAGAACGUUAGGAAACAUCAAUCACCUCGAGAGAAACAAGGCGGACGCCCAAUGCUUUUGAGAAAAGUCCUCGAGUUUGCUCCUGUUGAUGACGAUGCGUUUCAUAGAUGAAUGAGUGCUACAAAUGAUACGAUUCAAUGUAUGUUAUUUCGUCGGACAUCGAAAUCGUUGAUUAUACUACUUUUACCUUCAAAACUUUUGUUGUACUCAAUAGAUUAGAAUUGUUUUGUUCCAUAUAUAUAUAUAUAAUAUUAUUAAUUCGUUUAUAAAGUAAACUCUGGAUAACAAUUUGAGAUCAUCUCCGAACUACCAGCUCCUAUCACUUAUACGUCGAUCCCUUUUCAGCUAUAAUCGUACCACGCCUGGACAGAUAGGAGUAGGAAAGACAAGGGGGAGAGAGAGAGAGAGAGAGAGAGAGAGAGAGAGAGAGAAAGACGCAGUCACGUAGCCGGCAGGUAUAUUAUAGCUACCUUCGGGCGGUUCGGUGCGUGCUCGAAUUAAUUGCUUGGAUCUCGAUUAGCGUUCGGUUGGCUCGCCCAGAUUAGCUGUACAUGACUCACGAACCUUGAUGUUUAGCCAACGCGCCGAUAUCUACGAGUAAAUGAUUCCUCCUCACGACACUCUUCCUUCCUUUUUCCCUAUUUUCUUCUUUUACGAUACGGUCGUAAUAUUUCGAACAAUCGAUGAUAUUUUCCAAUCAGAAAAGACAAAAUAAACAAAAGUUAUCAUAACAACUGAGUAAUACGAUUCAAAGCAUAACUCUGUUGUCGAAAUAUAAUCAUAUGAAGUUUCGUAAAGGAACAAUCGUAUUUAUAUUAUACACGGAAAAAAAUGAAGAAAAUAUAAAGUAUUGUAUUGCGCGCCUGUAUUAUUUCAUCAUUGCUCCGAAUUUAUUAUCCACCGAGACUGAUAAAGAAAGAAAAAUAAAAAGAAAAGGAAAAUUCUCAACAGUCGCACAACCAACAUCUUGGAAACAACAUGGAAUUACCCUAGGUAAAGGUGAAAGUGGAGUUUACGAGCCGAAAAAGUAGCGGGGAUGGAUCACAUAUAUAAAAAUAAACAAACACGGUUAUAUCUCCUUGUGACAUCGUCUAACGUGCCUCAGUCGCGAAUGAUCCAAUACAUUUUUCAUGAAAUAUUCACUUCGAGAUAGUAGCCAAUCUCUCGUUGGUGAAAUUUAUCUCGAGAAUCUAUUCGCGUGAAACGAAAUACCACAUUCCUUAAAAGAUUAUCGCGUAAAACUUCGAGAAGCUUUCUUUCCUUUUUCUCUUUUUUUCUCUUUCGUUCUAUCCAGUUACUUGCUUUUAAUGUCCUACUGGAAUAAAAAGUAUUAUAGUAGAUCGUAACAACCAAAUAACGAUCUCGCCGUUAUCUCCGAUCAUUCUGCAAAGUUACUGCCAGAUUAUGUUUGAGUUCAUAGACAUAGUAUUUCCGAUAUGACUCAUAAUACUCGCUAAAUGUUCACCUUCGUUACUAGUCCGAGAAAUUAAAGAGAAGAAGAACAGUUGAUUGUAAGAUAACGCGGAAAUUUUACCACCAAAAAGUUAUCUAUGUACGAGGUAACAUUUACAGUUCUUGAUAAUUCAAUGCUGUAAUUUUUUCUCGCAUUUGUCAAUGGUUCAUAAGAUAACGUUAAGCAUGUAUUUAUUACGGCAAGUUUUAAUCGAGCUUAUCGUUCAUAUAACAAAAAGCAAGAGUCGUCAAUAAAUUUUUAUUUUCGAUAUCGUAUUAUUCAAUUUCAAUUUUUGUUUUUUUUUUGGUUUCGAGUUUUAGGUCGAAGAUCAAUGCCUAAAUGAUGUUUAUCUAUUCAAACAAUUUAUAUAUUUAUACGAAUAUUUUCUCAAUAAAAUAGUUCAAAAUUAAAAGAUAGCUCAUAUUUACUUUUAUCCGAGCGAACAAUAAAAUGUUCAAGUUAAAAUUCAAUGCCAUUCUUUCGCGAAACAGUAACCCCAAUAUCAUGUUCGAUGGAUAAAAUAAUUCAAUAAAUGAAACAACCCAGUG
This is an RNA transcript of Vespula vulgaris, 10569 nucleotides long. It is a transcript of the gene named alpha-2B adrenergic receptor, with no coding region annotated. The record is from RefSeq and is a predicted model, not a curated record. Lineage: Eukaryota; Metazoa; Arthropoda; Insecta; Hymenoptera; Vespidae. The transcript is spliced from 5 exons.